UACGGGGGGGGCAAGCGUUGUUCGGAAUUACUGGGCGUAAAGGGCUCGUAGGUGGCCAACUAAGUCAGACGUGAAAUCCCCAGGCUCAACCUGGGAACUGCGUCUGAUACUGGAUGGCUUGAAUUCGGGAGAGGGAUGCAGAAUUCCAGGUGUAGCGGUGAAAUGCGUAGAUAUCUGGAGGAAUACCGGUGGCGAAGGCGGCAUCCUGGACCGACAUUGACGCUGAGGAGCGAAAGCCAGGGGAGCAAACGGG
This 253-nucleotide ribosomal RNA is filed under the name uncultured bacterium. RNAcentral describes it as "partial 16S ribosomal RNA". It matches the Rfam family "Bacterial small subunit ribosomal RNA", at positions 524 to 776 of the family's 1533-position model. The record is from RNAcentral.